This 253-nucleotide ribosomal RNA is filed under the name uncultured bacterium. RNAcentral describes it as "partial 16S ribosomal RNA". It matches the Rfam family "Bacterial small subunit ribosomal RNA", at positions 524 to 776 of the family's 1533-position model. The record is from RNAcentral.
UACGUAGGGGGCAAGCGUUGUCCGGAAUCAUUGGGCGUAAAGCGCGUGUAGGCGGUUCAGUAAGUCUGCUGUGAAAGUCCAGGGCUCAACCCUGGGAUGCCGGUGGAUACUGCUGGACUAGAGUGCGGAAGAGGCGAGUGGAAUUCCCGGUGUAGCGGUGAAAUGCGCAGAUAUCGGGAAGAACACCCGUGGCGAAGGCGGCUCUCUGGGACGGUACUGACGCUGAGACGCGAAAGCGUGGGGAGCGAACAGG